Molecule: ribosomal RNA, 497 nt
Filed under: uncultured bacterium
Lineage: Bacteria
Description: partial 16S ribosomal RNA
Rfam family: Bacterial small subunit ribosomal RNA
Source: RNAcentral
GACGAACGCUGGCGGCGUGCCUAAUACAUGCAAGUAGAACGCUGAAGAGAGGAGCUUGCUCUUCUUGGGUGAGUUGCGAACGGGUGAGUAACGCGUAGGUAACCUGCCUGGUAGCGGGGGAUAACUAUUGGAAACGAUAGCUAAUACCGCAUAAAAUUGAUUAUUGCAUGAUACUUAAUUGAAAGAUGCAACUGCAUCACUACCAGAUGGACCUGCGUUGUAUUAGCUAGUUGGUGAGGUAACGGCUCACCAAGGCGACGAUACAUGGCCAACCUGAGAGGGGGAACGGGCACGAUGGGAAUAAGACCCGGCCCAGACUCCUUCGGGGGGCAGCAAUAGGGGAGCUUGGGCCAAGGGGGGAACCCUGAACGAACAAAGCCGCGGGAGAGAAGAAGGUUCUCGGAUGGUAAAGCUCUGUUUUAAGCGAAGAACGGGUGUGGGAGUGGAAAGUUCACACUGUGACGGUACCUUACCAGAAAGGGACGGCUAACUACGUG